ACUUUUAUGGGGAGAUGCUGUCGAAAUUUCUGCAAAAUAUGCACUUUUACGAGGAUAUGCUACCCAAACUUUUGCAAAAAUACUCAUGCAUGCAAAUUUGUCAUAUGAUUCAUACAUGUUCUAUGCUAAUUAGUUUUAUGAUUGUUGGAUGUAGGCUGCUAAUAACGCUUCAUCUUCUGGAAAUGACAACUCUCAUUAAUUAUCUAAUUAGCUAGUUGGAUUUUUGUCGAAAGAUUAAUUUUGGAUGCACCAAAACGAAAAAGUGAAUGUUGAAGAUUUGAGGACAUUGGAACUUUUGUUUGGGCACAAGAUUGAAGAUAUAUUAAGUUUUUUUUUAUUAUUUAGUUGGAUUAUAAAUUUUAACAUUUGUUGUUCUACAUACAUUAGGUUGUACCUUGAGUUUGUCUAAAUGAGUUAGAUUUUUUGGUUAUUUUUAGUUUGAAGAUUGCUUAUACGGAGUAUGAAACGAUUUAAUUUUUUCAUUAAUCAAUAUAAUAUAUUUUGGUUCA
Beta vulgaris subsp. vulgaris (sugar beet) is the source of this 509-nucleotide long non-coding RNA. RefSeq lists it as uncharacterized. Lineage: Eukaryota; Viridiplantae; Streptophyta; Magnoliopsida; Caryophyllales; Amaranthaceae. The transcript has 2 exons. The record is from RefSeq and is a predicted model, not a curated record.